Molecule: ribosomal RNA, 218 nt
Filed under: uncultured fungus
Lineage: Eukaryota; Fungi
Description: partial small subunit ribosomal RNA
Rfam family: Eukaryotic small subunit ribosomal RNA (bases 66-218)
Source: RNAcentral
GGAUGUUCCAUUGAGUCUGCCACGAACGUGGUAUGUACUUAAAUGUGGCGUCCAUCCUCGAAGCGAACUUAUGUGUCAUUCAGUUGAUGUAUAAGGUUACUUCGUCUUUUACUGUGAGCAAAAUAGGGUGUUCAAAGCAGGCUUAUGCCGUUGAAUACAUUAGCAUGGAAUAAUAAGAUAGGACCUUGGUCUAUUUUGUUGGUUUGUACUCCAAGGUA